UGGGGAAUAUUGCACAAUGGGCGCAAGCCUGAUGCAGCCAUGCCGCGUGUAUGAAGAAGGCCUUCGGGUUGUAAUGUACUUUCAGCGGGGAGGAAGGGAGUAAAGUUAAUACCUUUGCUCAUUGACGUUACCCGCAGAAGAAGCACCGGCUAACUCCGUGCCAGCAGCCGCGGUAAUACGUAGGGUGCAAGCGUUAAUCGGAAUUACUGGGCGUAAAGCGCACGCAGGCGGUUUGUUAAGUCAGAUGUGAAAUCCCCGGGCUCAACCUGGGAACUGCAUCUGAUACUGGCAAGCUUGAGUCUCGUAGAGGGGGGUAGAAUUCCAGGUGUAGCGGUGAAAUGCGUAGAGAUCUGGAGGAAUACCGGUGGCGAAGGCGGCCCCCUGGACGAAGACUGACGCUCAGGUGCGAAAGCGUGGGGAGCAAACAGG
RNAcentral lists this ribosomal RNA (429 nucleotides) under Chloroflexota bacterium. Its description in RNAcentral is "Chloroflexi bacterium partial 16S ribosomal RNA". It matches the Rfam family "Bacterial small subunit ribosomal RNA", at positions 355 to 776 of the family's 1533-position model. The record is from RNAcentral. Lineage: Bacteria; Bacillati; Chloroflexota.